Molecule: ribosomal RNA, 448 nt
Filed under: uncultured bacterium
Lineage: Bacteria
Description: bacterial SSU rRNA
Rfam family: Bacterial small subunit ribosomal RNA
Source: RNAcentral
CGGCCAGACUCCUACGGGAGGCAGCAGUGGGGGAUAUUGCACAAUGGGGGAAACCCUGACGCAGCAACGCCGCGUGCGGGACGAAGGCCCUCGGGCUGUAAACCGCUUUCAGCAGGGAAGACAUCGACGGUACCUGCAGAAGAAGCCCCGGCUAAAUACGUGCCAGCAGCCGCGGUAAUACGUAUGGGGCAAGCGUUAUCCGGAUUUACUGGGUGUAAGGGGAGCGUAGGCGGCAGGGCAAGCCUGAUGUGAAAGCCCGGGGCUCAACCCCGGGACUGCAUUGGGAACUGCCCCGCUCGAGUGCCGGAGGGGCAGGCGGAAUUCCUAGUGUAGCGGUGAAAUGCGUAGAUAUUAGGAGGAACACCAGUGGCGAAGGCGGCCUGCUGGACGGUGUACUGACGCUGAGGCUCGAAAGCGUGGGGAGCAAACAGGAUUAGAUACCCCGGUA